UAUUUGAUGACUUUUCUUUCCUAGUGGAAGUUAGUUCAGUUACAGUUUUCCUGAAAAAUACACAGACCCCAUGCAGAGGGUCUCUGUGCCUUUUCUGUUGGUGUAGCUGCCUCAUAGAACCUUCCCAUCAUGAGCCUGAGAGAGAGCCCUGUGACUUUAUGAAGCAAGCGACAACAAAACUCCUCUAAAGCUGAACCGCCGUGAAAUAACCCAGGCCUUGAACUUGUCGCACGAUGUUGCUUUAAAUUUUAAUGCAAGCUCGGGAAUAGAUUUGUGUACAGCAAGGUAAAGCAAAGGCCAUGAAAUAUUGAUUCUGUACAUUUUCUUAUGCAUUUUUAUUCUCCAAUUUAGUAAAUUUUUCAU
This is a non-coding RNA of Rattus norvegicus (Norway rat), 363 nucleotides long. The record is from RefSeq and is a predicted model, not a curated record. NCBI's taxonomy places the organism in Eukaryota, Metazoa, Chordata, Mammalia, Rodentia, Muridae.